CGCGUAGGCUGGUCUUUAAGUGAGUGGUGAAAGGUUCGGGCUCAACCCGGACACUGCCUUUCAUACUGGGGACCUUGAGUGUGGGAGAGGCGAGUGGAAUGGUCGGUGUAGCGGUGAAAUGCGUAGAUAUCGAUCGGAACACCCAUGGCGAAGGCAGCUCGCUGGCCUGACACUGACGCUGAGGCGCGAAAGCGUGGGGAGCAAACAGGAUUAGAUACCCUGGUAGUCCACGCCGUAAACGAUGAGUGCUAGAUGUAAGGGGUAUCGACCCCCCUUGUGUCGCAGCUAACGCAAUAAGCACUCCGCCUGGGGAGUACGGCCGCAAGGUUGAA
RNAcentral lists this ribosomal RNA (332 nucleotides) under uncultured bacterium. RNAcentral describes it as "bacterial SSU rRNA". It matches the Rfam family "Bacterial small subunit ribosomal RNA", at positions 568 to 898 of the family's 1533-position model. The record is from RNAcentral.